This is a long non-coding RNA of Oncorhynchus tshawytscha (Chinook salmon), 345 nucleotides long. The record is from Ensembl. NCBI's taxonomy places the organism in Eukaryota, Metazoa, Chordata, Actinopteri, Salmoniformes, Salmonidae.
GGGGGAGGCUGCAGGGAGGAGGUGAGAGUGUUCUAGAUGGAGGAGGAAGCAGGGAAGAGGUGAGAGUGUUUCUAGAUGGGGGAGGCAGCAGGGAGGUGAAAGUGUUUCUAGAUGGGGGAGGCAGUAGGGAGGUGAAAGUGUUUCUAGAUGGGGGAGGCAGAAGGGAGGAGGUGAGAGUGUUUCUAGAUGGGGAGGAGGCAGGGAGGAGGUGAGAGUGUUUUAGAUGGGGGAGGCAGCAGGGAGGAGGUGAGAGUGUUUCUAGAUGGGGGAGGCAGCAGGGAGGAGGUGAGAGUGAAUCUAGAUGGGGGAGGAAGCAGGGAGGAGGUGAGAGUGUUUCUAGAUGGG